Molecule: ribosomal RNA, 229 nt
Filed under: uncultured bacterium
Lineage: Bacteria
Description: partial 16S ribosomal RNA
Rfam family: Bacterial small subunit ribosomal RNA
Source: RNAcentral
UGCGUAGGCGGCCAAUCAAGUUAGAUGUGAAAGCCCAAGGCUCAACCUUGGAACUGCAUUUAAUACUGGUAGGCUAGAGAUUGGAAGAGGUGAAUGGAAUUCCCAGUGUAGAGGUGGAAUUCGUAGAUAUUGGGAAGAACACCGGAUGCGAAGGCGGUUCACUGGUCCAAAACUGACGCUGAGGCACGAAAGCGUGGGGAGCAAACAGGAUUAGAUACCCUGGUAGUCC